AAAAAAAAAAAAGAUGGAGGAAGGGUCCAGGGAAAGCGCAACUGGGUCUGGGAGAAGGCAGCUCACAGUUGCUAGACAUAGGGUCUCUGGACUGGACUGGAACCCAGAGUAGAGAAUGAGCCUAGGUUCCAUCACCAGCAUCUGGGAGAAGUGGCACUGACCAAGGAGUAGAACAGAAGAGUGCCUGGGACUAUUGUCCAAUAGGACUUUGUUACUCUGAGAGGGGAGGACUAUAGUAAUCUGGCUAGAGGGCCAAGCCAAGAAGAGAGGGUGUGCUGAGUUGCAGAGAGAAAGAGGCAGCAGGGUGCACAAAUAAACAGCAGAAGCUGGAAGGUGCUAAUCCCCAGAACAGCCAGGAGAAGGUGCCCUAGUGUGGGCCGGAGCUGGUGCAUCAUUCUGGUCCCUUGUACCUGGUACAUCCCUGGCGAAAUGCAAUAGAAGCUGUUCAAACAUAUGACCUGCCAUGCUGGAAGAGACCAGAGGUCACGGGUCUGUCUAGACUGGGACUGUGCCUCUGACACUGCUCACUCGUGGAAGCCUUUGUAAGGUCUGACAGGAAUCCCUGCGAGUGGAGAGGACCAUGUAAGAUUUGUCACAGUUGCAAGCCCUGGCUUACCAAGGCAGAACUCCACCCGCGUUGCUGUAGUAAAAACACACCCUUUGUUUUUCUUCACUGGGAAAAAAGGCAUGUCCACUGCUGGGCAGUCUAGGAAUGGCACUGAUGGGUUGCAAAGAGACGUGUCAGACCUGUCCAGUCAAGGGCUAUAGCCACAACGCAAGAUCAUGUCUGAAAACGUUAGUGUGGGAACUUCCAGGGGAUGCAGUGGUCACUGGCUAGUACCUUGGCACCCCCAUCACUUUGCCAGUCUCAAAGCAGCACAGUGCUUGGCACAAAUUCCUCUAGGAGUAAACCUGGCAAUGAGUGCCUACAGUAGAGUGCCUAGUCCUUACAUACUCCAUAGGAAGUAGUGUCUCCUCGUGCCUCUUGGGGCCAGAUUUAGCCCCAGUAUACAUGGACAUCAAUGGGGCUGGACCCACUUCCACGGGGUGGAAUUUGUCUUUAGGUUUGUUGGUGUAAUCCACAGUGAGCAUUUCUUUCUCACAGCAUCACUCAGGAGAUUAGGCAUUUCUCACUCUGAAUCACCCCCAAAGGAACUUCCUUCAAAGAGCUCUAAAUUCCCUUCCACAAUGGGAAUUGCCUGAUCCCCGCUUCAUUCUAUGUGCCUUGAGAAAUACCCCAACCCAAAGGUCGUGUAAAUUGCAACACAGCUCUAAUGGACUCCUGUGCAGCCAUGCUGGUUUACGCCAGCCGAGGAGCUGACUCAAAAUGUCCUGCUGGCAUUAUCUGGUUCUGGCUCUUCACCCUCUGAAAGGUAAUGGCACCCAGCCAAGAGGACUAGCCCAAAUUAUGUGCCCAGUCUCUCACAAGGUUUUUGGGAUAAGGAGCACUUCAGCAACCCAUUGAAUAAGGCAAACUUAGGAGUAAGGGGCAGCUUCCAGCAUUGUACACCUCUAAUAUCCUAAGAUACAGUGAGAGCGACCUGCCAUUUCAGCGGAACAGCUGGAGUUAGUAGGCUCAGUUUUGUACGGAGCAGAGAGCCCUCAGCACUCCUGGAUGCUGAUGGCAACUGA
Molecule: long non-coding RNA, 1632 nt
Organism: Dermochelys coriacea (leatherback sea turtle)
Lineage: Eukaryota; Metazoa; Chordata; Testudines; Dermochelyidae
Exons: 3
Source: RefSeq, a predicted model, not a curated record